This 153-nucleotide small RNA is filed under the name Anaerobium acetethylicum. RNAcentral's name for it is "Clostridiales-1 RNA". It matches the Rfam family "Clostridiales-1 RNA". The record is from Rfam by way of RNAcentral. Lineage: Bacteria; Bacillati; Bacillota; Clostridia; Lachnospirales; Lachnospiraceae.
UGAUACCAGGGUCCCAAGGCCAAGUGUUACAGGCUUGCAUCAAAAAACAUGACUUUAGGACCCUAAAACAUGAGAAAGCAGACCGAACAAGGCGGAUUUCGAAUGUUUUUAGGAUUGUGCGGGCACGAAGUACGCAAUAAUCCGCAGGUGUCA